UACGGAGGGUGCAAGCGUUAUCCGGAUUCACUGGGUUUAAAGGGUGCGUAGGUGGGUUGGUAAGUCAGUGGUGAAAUCUCCGAGCUUAACUUGGAAACUGCCAUUGAUACUAUCAGUCUUGAAUACCGUGGAGAUGAGCGGAAUAUGUCAUGUAGCGGUGAAAUGCUUAGAUAUGACGUAGAACACCAAUUGCGAAGGCAGCUCGUUACACGAAUAUUGACACUCAGGCACGAAAGCGUGGGGAUCAAACAGG
Molecule: ribosomal RNA, 253 nt
Filed under: uncultured bacterium
Lineage: Bacteria
Description: partial 16S ribosomal RNA
Rfam family: Bacterial small subunit ribosomal RNA
Source: RNAcentral